AUUAUUUUUAUAGUGUUUUAAAAAAAAAUAUUUACGCACGUUCAAAAGUAAUUUUACAUUAUAGUAGGUAUUGUGUUUUACAUGAAAAAACGUGUCGUGUUAUUCAUCUUUCUGGUCUUAUGAAGGUUUAAAAAUCAGUACGUUUGGGGCAUAGACAUGUUAAAAAAUGGACUGCGCGUACUUAAAAUGUCUAUGGUUUGGAG
This is a non-coding RNA of Cinara cedri, 203 nucleotides long. The record is from the annotation of a GenBank genome assembly. Lineage: Eukaryota; Metazoa; Arthropoda; Insecta; Hemiptera; Aphididae.